CCUACGGGUGGCAGCAGUGAGGAAUAUUGGUCAAUGGACGCAAGUCUGAACCAGCCAUGCCGCGUGCAGGAUGACUGCCCUAUGAGUUGUAAACUUCUUUUAUACGGGGGUAAAACCAUCUACGCGUAUCAUUUUGAAUGUAUCAUACGAAUAAGGAUCGGCUAACUCCGUGCCCGCAGCCGCGGUAAUCCGGAGGAUUCAAGCGUUAUCCGGAUUUAUUGGGUUUACAGGGAGCGUAGGUGGUUGGUUAAGUUAGUGGUGAAAUUCUGGGGCUCAACUUCGAAAUUGCCGUUGAUACUGGUAGGCUAGAGUAUAGUAGAGGUAGGCGGAAUGUAUGGUGUAGCGGUGAAAUGCUUAGAGAUCAUACAGAACACCGAUUGCGAAGGCAGCUUACCAAGCUACUUCUGACAUUGAGGCACGAAAGUGUGGGGAGCAAACAGGAUUAGAUACCCGAGUAGUC
This 460-nucleotide ribosomal RNA is filed under the name uncultured bacterium. RNAcentral's name for it is "partial 16S ribosomal RNA". It matches the Rfam family "Bacterial small subunit ribosomal RNA", at positions 338 to 795 of the family's 1533-position model. The record is from RNAcentral.